AAUGAACGCUAGCGACACGCCUAACACAUGCAAGUUGAAUGAAAUAUUCAUAUUGAAUGUUUCAUAGCGAACGGGUGAGUAAUACAUAAGAACUUGCCCAACAGUCUGGGAUAAGUAUAUUGACAUUGCAAAAUGUUAAGAAUUAAGGUAUUUAUUUUAAAUAUCUUAAGUAUAAAUACCGGAUAAUAUAAAAGAUUAAUCGCUGUUAGAUAGGCUUAUGGAGGAGUAUGGUAGUUGGUAGGGUAAUGGCCUACCAAGCCUUUGAUCCUUAGCCGGUUUGAAAGAACGAUCGGCCACACUGGGACUGAGACACGGCCCAGACUCCUACGGGAGGCAGCAGUGAGGAAUAUUGGACAAUGGGCGAAAGCCUGAUCCAGCGAUGUCGCGUGAGUGAUGAAGGCUCUUUUGGUUGUAAAGCUCUUUCGUUGGGGAAGAUAAUGACGGUACUCAAAGAAGAAGCCCCGGCUAACUCCGUGCCAGCAGCCGCGGUAAGGUGCGCG
RNAcentral lists this ribosomal RNA (500 nucleotides) under uncultured bacterium. RNAcentral's name for it is "bacterial SSU rRNA". It matches the Rfam family "Bacterial small subunit ribosomal RNA", at positions 29 to 531 of the family's 1533-position model. The record is from RNAcentral.